AAGUCGAGGGGCAGCGGGGGCGAAGCUUGCUUCGCCUGCCGGCGACCGGCGCACGGGUGAGUAACACGUAUGCGACCUGCCCCCCGCAGGGGGAUAACCGGGAGAAAUCCCGACUAAUACCGCGUAACGCCGCGGGGCUGCAUGGCCCGGCGGCCAAAGGAAGCGAUUCCGGCGGGGGAUGGGCAUGCGGCGCAUUAGCUAGUCGGCGGGGUAACGGCCCACCGAGGCGACGAUGCGUAGGGGUUCUGAGAGGAAGGUCCCCCACACUGGUACUGAGACACGGACCAGACUCCUACGGGAGGCAGCAGUGAGGAAUAUUGGUCAAUGGGCGGGAGCCUGAACCAGCCAAGUCGCGUGAGGGAAGACGGUCCUACGGAUCGUAAACCUCUUUUGCCGGGGAGCAACGGGGUCCUUGCGAGGGCCCGAUGAGAGUACCCGGAGAAAAAGCAUCGGCUAACUCCGUGCCAGCAGCCGCGGUAAUACGGAGGAUGCGAGCGUUAUCCGGAUUUAUUGGGUUUAAAGGGUGCGUAGGCGGGCUGUUAAGUCAGCGGUCAAAUGUCGGGGCUCAACCCCGGCCUGCCGUUGAAACUGGCGGCCUCGAGUGGGCGAGAAGUAUGCGGAAUGCGUGGUGUAGCGGUGAAAUGCAUAGGAUUUCACGCAGAACUCGGAUUGGGAAGGCAGCAUACCGGCGCCCGACUGACGCUGAGGCACGAAAGCGUGGGUAUCGAACAGGAUUAGAUACCCUGGUAGUCCACGCAGUAAACGAUGAAUGCUAGCUGUCCGGUUCUACGGGACUGGGUGGCACAGCGAAAGCGUUAAGCAUUCCACCUGGGGAGUACGCCGGCAACGGUGAAACUCAAAGGAAUUGACGGGGGCCCGCACAAGCGGAGGAACAUGUGGUUUAAUUCGAUGAUACGCGAGGAACCUUACCCGGGCUCAAACGCCAAAGGACAGCCGUUGAAAGGCGGCCUCCCUCCGGGGCCUUUGGCGAGGUGCUGCAUGGUUGUCGUCAGCUCGUGCCGUGAGGUGUCGGCUUAAGUGCCAUAACGAGCGCAACCCCCAUCGACAGUUGCUAACGGGUAGAGCCGAGGACUCUGUCGAGACUGCCGGCGCAAGCCGCGAGGAAGGCGGGGAUGACGUCAAAUCAGCACGGCCCUUACGUCCGGGGCGACACACGUGUUACAAUGGCCGGUACAGCGGGAUGCCAGGGCGCGAGCCCGAGCGGAACCCGAAAACCGGUCUCAGUUCGGAUUGGAGUCUGCAACCCGACUCCAUGAAGCUGGAUUCGCUAGUAA
RNAcentral lists this ribosomal RNA (1295 nucleotides) under uncultured bacterium. Its description in RNAcentral is "bacterial SSU rRNA". It matches the Rfam family "Bacterial small subunit ribosomal RNA", at positions 59 to 1341 of the family's 1533-position model. The record is from RNAcentral.